This 496-nucleotide ribosomal RNA is filed under the name uncultured bacterium. RNAcentral describes it as "partial 16S ribosomal RNA". It matches the Rfam family "Bacterial small subunit ribosomal RNA", at positions 28 to 506 of the family's 1533-position model. The record is from RNAcentral.
GAUGAACGCUGGCGGCGUGCCUAAUACAUGCAAGUCGAGCGAACAGUUGAGGAGCUUUGUUCGCUGACGUUAGCGGCGGGCGGGGGAGGAACAGGUGGAUAAACUACCUUAACGAAUGGAUUAACGGCGGGUAACCGUAGCUAAUAGGGGAUAAUAUAUUGUACCGCAUUGUUCAAUAGUGAAAGACGGUUUUGCGCUCACUUGUGGAUGGAUCCUCGCCGCAUUAGCGAUUUGUUAAGUAAAUGGCUUACUAAGGCAACGAUGCGUAGCCGACCCGAGAGGGUGCUCGGCCACACUGGACUUGAGACACGGCCCAGACCCCUACGGGGGGAAGCGGUAGGGAAUUUUCCGAAAGGGGGGAAAGCCUGCCGGAGCAACGCCGCGGGAGUGAUAAAGGUCUUCGGAUCGUAAACUCCUGUUAUUGGGAAAGAACAAAUGUGUAAGUAACUAUGCACGUCUUGACGGUACCUAAUAAGAAAGCCACGGCUACCUACGU